GGCUAGCUGACGAGUCCCAGAUAGGAGGAAAUGCGUAUCCUGGAU
This 45-nucleotide non-coding RNA is filed under the name Trichobilharzia regenti. Lineage: Eukaryota; Metazoa; Platyhelminthes; Trematoda; Strigeidida; Schistosomatidae. The record is from RNAcentral.